Molecule: ribosomal RNA, 446 nt
Filed under: uncultured bacterium
Lineage: Bacteria
Description: partial 16S ribosomal RNA
Rfam family: Bacterial small subunit ribosomal RNA
Source: RNAcentral
CCUACGGGUGGCAGCAGUCGAGAAUCAUUCACAAUGGGUGAAACCCUGAUGGUGCGACGCCGCGUGGGGGAAUGAAGGUCUUCGGAUUGUAAACCCCUGUCAUGUGGGAGCAAAUUAAAAAGAUAGUACCACAAGAGGAAGAGACGGCUAACUCUGUGCCAGAAGCCGCGGUAAUACAGAGGUCUCAAGCGUUGUUCGUAAUCACUGGGCGUAAAGCGUGCGUAGCCUGGUUCGUAAGUAGCGUGUGAAAGGCGCGGGCGUAACCCGCGGACGGCACAUGAUACUGCGAGACUAGAGUAAUGGAGGGGGAAACGGAAUUCUCGGUGUAGCAGUGAAAUGCGUAGAUAUCGAGAGGAACACUCGUGGCGAAGGCGGGUUCCUGGACAUUAACUGACGCUGAGGCACGAAGGCCAGGGGAGCGAAAGGGAUUAGAUACCCGAGUAGUC